RNAcentral lists this ribosomal RNA (1397 nucleotides) under Lactiplantibacillus plantarum. Its description in RNAcentral is "bacterial SSU rRNA". It matches the Rfam family "Bacterial small subunit ribosomal RNA", at positions 67 to 1437 of the family's 1533-position model. The record is from RNAcentral. Lineage: Bacteria; Bacillati; Bacillota; Bacilli; Lactobacillales; Lactobacillaceae.
UGGUAUUGAUUGGUGCUUGCAUCAUGAUUUACAUUUGAGUGAGUGGCGAACUGGUGAGUAACACGUGGGAAACCUGCCCAGAAGCGGGGGAUAACACCUGGAAACAGAUGCUAAUACCGCAUAACAACUUGGACCGCAUGGUCCGAGUUUGAAAGAUGGCUUCGGCUAUCACUUUUGGAUGGUCCCGCGGCGUAUUAGCUAGAUGGUGGGGUAACGGCUCACCAUGGCAAUGAUACGUAGCCGACCUGAGAGGGUAAUCGGCCACAUUGGGACUGAGACACGGCCCAAACUCCUACGGGAGGCAGCAGUAGGGAAUCUUCCACAAUGGACGAAAGUCUGAUGGAGCAACGCCGCGUGAGUGAAGAAGGGUUUCGGCUCGUAAAACUCUGUUGUUAAAGAAGAACAUAUCUGAGAGUAACUGUUCAGGUAUUGACGGUAUUUAACCAGAAAGCCACGGCUAACUACGUGCCAGCAGCCGCGGUAAUACGUAGGUGGCAAGCGUUGUCCGGAUUUAUUGGGCGUAAAGCGAGCGCAGGCGGUUUUUUAAGUCUGAUGUGAAAGCCUUCGGCUCAACCGAAGAAGUGCAUCGGAAACUGGGAAACUUGAGUGCAGAAGAGGACAGUGGAACUCCAUGUGUAGCGGUGAAAUGCGUAGAUAUAUGGAAGAACACCAGUGGCGAAGGCGGCUGUCUGGUCUGUAACUGACGCUGAGGCUCGAAAGUAUGGGUAGCAAACAGGAUUAGAUACCCUGGUAGUCCAUACCGUAAACGAUGAAUGCUAAGUGUUGGAGGGUUUCCGCCCUUCAGUGCUGCAGCUAACGCAUUAAGCAUUCCGCCUGGGGAGUACGGCCGCAAGGCUGAAACUCAAAGGAAUUGACGGGGGCCCGCACAAGCGGUGGAGCAUGUGGUUUAAUUCGAAGCUACGCGAAGAACCUUACCAGGUCUUGACAUACUAUGCAAAUCUAAGAGAUUAGACGUUCCCUUCGGGGACAUGGAUACAGGUGGUGCAUGGUUGUCGUCAGCUCGUGUCGUGAGAUGUUGGGUUAAGUCCCGCAACGAGCGCAACCCUUAUUAUCAGUUGCCAGCAUUAAGUUGGGCACUCUGGUGAGACUGCCGGUGACAAACCGGAGGAAGGUGGGGAUGACGUCAAAUCAUCAUGCCCCUUAUGACCUGGGCUACACACGUGCUACAAUGGAUGGUACAACGAGUUGCGAACUCGCGAGAGUAAGCUAAUCUCUUAAAGCCAUUCUCAGUUCGGAUUGUAGGCUGCAACUCGCCUACAUGAAGUCGGAAUCGCUAGUAAUCGCGGAUCAGCAUGCCGCGGUGAAUACGUUCCCGGGCCUUGUACACACCGCCCGUCACACCAUGAGAGUUUGUAACACCCAAAGUCGGUGGGGUA